UCUUUUUCCACCGGAGCUUGCUCCACCGGAAAAAGANGAAGUGGCGAACGGGUGAGUAACACGUGGGUAACCUGCCCAUCAGAAGGGGAUAACACUUGGAAACAGGUGCUAAUACCGUAUAACAAUCNAAACCGCAUGGUUUUGAUUUGAAAGGCGCUUUCGGGUGUCGCUGAUGGAUGGACCCGCGGUGCAUUAGCUAGUUGGUGAGGUAACGGCUCACCAAGGCCACGAUGCAUAGCCGACCUGAGAGGGUGAUCGGCCACAUUGGGACUGAGACACGGCCCAAACUCCUACGGGAGGCAGCAGUAGGGAAUCUUCGGCAAUGGACGAAAGUCUGACCGAGCAACGCCGCGUGAGUGAAGAAGGUUUUCGGAUCGUAAAACUCUGUUGUUAGAGAAGAACAAGGAUGAGAGUAACUGUUCAUCCCUUGACGGUAUCUAACCAGAAAGCCACGGCUAACUACGUGCCAGCAGCCGCGGUAAUACGUAGGUGGCAAGCGUUGUCCGGAUUUAUUGGGCGUAAAGCGAGCGCAGGCGGUUUCUUAAGUCUGAUGUGAAAGCCCCCGGCUCAACCGGGGAGGGUCAUUGGAAACUGGGAGACUUGAGUGCAGAAGAGGAGAGUGGAAUUCCAUGUGUAGCGGUGAAAUGCGUAGAUAUAUGGAGGAACACCAGUGGCGAAGGCGGCUCUCUGGUCUGUAACUGACGCUGAGGCUCGAAAGCGUGGGGAGCAAACAGGAUUAGAUACCCUGGUAGUCCACGCCGUAAACGAUGAGUGCUAAGUGUUGGAGGGUUUCCGCCCUUCAGUGCUGCAGCUAACGCAUUAAGCACUCCGCCUGGGG
Molecule: ribosomal RNA, 838 nt
Filed under: Enterococcus sp. Gull11_C04_1
Lineage: Bacteria; Bacillati; Bacillota; Bacilli; Lactobacillales; Enterococcaceae
Description: bacterial SSU rRNA
Rfam family: Bacterial small subunit ribosomal RNA
Source: RNAcentral